CGAGAAGACCGGGUGGUCGCGGCGAGCUGGAACCAAUCCCACGCUGGGAUGAGGCCGCACGUCGAGGAAAGUCCGGACUCCACAGAGCACGGUGGUUGCUAACGGCAACCCAGGGUGACCUGCGGGACAGUGCCACAGAAAACAAACCGCCCGCUUCGCGGGUAAGGGUGAAAAGGUGCGGUAAGAGCGCACCAGCACGCCAGGUGACUGGGGUGGCUAGGUAAACCCCACCGGGAGCAAGGUCAAGUAGUUGCACGGCUCGUUCCGUGCGGCUGAGUUCCAGAGCUGCUCGCUUGCUGAUGAACAGGUAGACCGCUUGAGGUGCCCAGCAAUGGUGCGCCCAGAUGGAUGGCCGCCUCGCGCUGAGGACACCUUCGGGUGGAAUGAGCGUAGGACAAAAUCCGGCUCAUAGGUCUUCUCGGCGU
RNAcentral lists this RNase P RNA (425 nucleotides) under Corynebacterium sp. ED61. Its description in RNAcentral is "Bacterial RNase P class A". It matches the Rfam family "Bacterial RNase P class A". From Rfam's summary of the family: Ribonuclease P (RNase P) is a ubiquitous endoribonuclease, found in archaea, bacteria and eukarya as well as chloroplasts and mitochondria. Its best characterised activity is the generation of mature 5'-ends of tRNAs by cleaving the 5'-leader elements of precursor-tRNAs. Cellular RNase Ps are ribonucleoproteins. Lineage: Bacteria; Bacillati; Actinomycetota; Actinomycetes; Mycobacteriales; Corynebacteriaceae. The record is from Rfam by way of RNAcentral.